RNAcentral lists this non-coding RNA (30 nucleotides) under Callithrix jacchus (white-tufted-ear marmoset). Lineage: Eukaryota; Metazoa; Chordata; Mammalia; Primates; Cebidae. The record is from RNAcentral. RNAcentral also lists the same sequence under 1 other name.
UGCUUUAAGUUGGAUAGCUGUCUUUACAAA